Non-coding RNA from Xyrichtys novacula (pearly razorfish), 558 nucleotides. NCBI's taxonomy places the organism in Eukaryota, Metazoa, Chordata, Actinopteri, Labriformes, Labridae. The record is from the annotation of a GenBank genome assembly.
CCAAUGUUGUUUAUUCUAUUUGUUUUCUUUUUUUUUAAUUAUUUAGUCUUAUUUUCCCAAUGGCAGCGAUAUGGUAACCACUUCUAAAGGGUUAAUAUAACAAAACCUUUGACAGAAAGAUCGCAAGAAACAAAAUGUUAGAAUAAAAUUGAAGCUUAAUUACAUGAUCAAAAAUAUAAAGCACUAAGAGGACUCCACUGAUGUUUUUUCACAACAGCUGUAUUGAAGUGUCAAAAACCAAAACCAGACAGAACACCCGAGCAACAUGAAACUUCAAUGUACUUCAUUAGCUGAAACACAAAAUCCAAAAAGGUAAAGAUCAAGCACAAUUUACUUCUUGCAACUGGACUGAAACAUACUGCUGAAUAAGGCAACACGGUACAUGUUUUCAUUCAGCUGAACGCCCUGUCAACCUCACAGCACAGUAAAUUUAAAAACAUUUUUCUGCAGUGAAGGUGUUCAAAAAGCUACAAGAUAGUUCGGAAAUUAAACAGAAGCGAUAUAUUUAUGUAUAAUAUAUAAUAUAUGUUUAAGAUACAAAAUAACAUUUAGAGCACU